Molecule: transfer RNA, 69 nt
Filed under: Rhynchocypris oxycephala (Chinese minnow)
Lineage: Eukaryota; Metazoa; Chordata; Actinopteri; Cypriniformes; Leuciscidae
Also listed under: 1 other name
Description: Phoxinus oxycephalus (Chinese minnow) tRNA-Ala
Rfam family: tRNA
About the family: Transfer RNA (tRNA) molecules are approximately 80 nucleotides in length.
Source: RNAcentral
AAGGCCUUAGUUUAACAAAAACAUCUGAUUUGCAAUUAGAAAAUGCAAGAUAGAGUCUUGUAGGUCUUA